CAGUUGAAAACCAGUUCAAUCUUCUUCUCCCACUCUAAGUAAGCAUCAGGAUCAUUCUUCCCAUGGAAUGGAGGGAUUCUAAGCUUGAGAUUGCCUAGGUUAUCAGUAGCUGGUCGCCUGCGGUUGUGAUUUCUACCAUGAUGACUAGCCUGAGAUCCAUCAUCACUUUCAUCAGCUGAAUCUUCUUGAUAAUGUUCUCCAUAAAUCCCACGACCCCUAAGCUCAACUCGUUGCCCUCUUAUAGGUCCAAUGCGUGCUCUCUGAGCUCCAGCAGCAACCGCGUCCCUCUCUUGCCCUGCAUUAUCACCAGGUAAAGUUUCAUUAGCUUGUUGAGCACGGUUGUAAGUAUUUUGCAUUCUUCUGGUUAUCUCAGCUAUCAUAGCCUCAAAUUGAACUUGGUUGAGGUUGAUUUGCUGGACAGCCGGUUCUCCUGAACUCUCAGGUUGCUUUCCAUCUCGCCUCUCUUCACUCAUUGUUCCUGAAAUAGUUAGAGAAAACACAAAGCCAGGAACAGAAUGAUCUCUCUCUCACUCAAGUUUUCAAAUCGCCAAGUCUCAGCUCUUCCCACAAGUUCAGUUGAAAAACAAAGUUCUACACUUAAGAUCUAGAACUAAAACCCCAAUGAAUCAGAUAGAAAGUAUUAAGAGAUUUAGGCACCAGCUGACUUUACCACCCUGAGCUGGAUUUCUCUUCAGCUAGCUGGAUUACUCUUCAGCUAUAUAUAUAUAUUUUUUUUUAUUUGGAUCAGAGAUCUCUUUUCUUUUCUUUUUUUUUUUUGAUUUGCAGGGUUGGCUCAGCUGGCUUACAACAGAUAGAAAGAUAAGAGAAGUGUUUGAUGGAAUGAAUGAUCUGAGUAGUCAAAUCGCAAACCCUAACCUUCAAGUGGCUCUGAUACCACUUGGUGCAGCCUGGGUAUGGCUUAAACUCUGGAUCACUUGAAGGUGGAUGGAUAGAGGGUGUUCUAAGAGGCUACUAGCUCUCCUUUGAACUAUGAACGUCUCCCUGAGCCUGUGGGUUGGCGCCAAGGAUGGUUUGCUACUCAAAGACACAAGAUCACCUUGUAUUGUCUAAGAUGGGAUUCACAGGAAUUCCUUCCUUUAAGUGAGAUCAAUGUUCUAGAGCUGAACAGAGAAAGCUAGAGACAAGACAACAAAGUUGACUGAAUAAUUCUUAGAUUGAAAGUUAAGAAAACAAAGCUGCGUCCCCCAUGUUCUUAAGGGAAAAAUCGAAAACCCUAAUAAUAAACCAAGGUGGUUUAAUUCUAAUUCUAAUCCUAAUUGUCUUUGGUUUAAAUUAAAUUAAAGCCCAAUAACCAAAACCCUUACAAAGUAAUUAAAUUAAACCAACAAGCUGGUUUAUCUUGAUCUCCUUGCCUUGAACCAAGGCCCACGGUUUUGGCUAUCUCCUGGAGCCUCUCCUCUUGUGCUCUCAGUCUUGAUCUAGUAACUGGUCCACUCCACACACUGGCUGGCUCACAUGGUAUCUCACUCUGGUUCUGGUUCUCUUCAGUACCCUCAGCUUCACACCUCUCUUCUACGGCAGUCUCAUCACUUGGCUCAUCCUCAUCAGUCUCGCUCAGCUCCUCUUCUAUGUCUCUGGUCAUGGCUACACCACGCCUAGUCCUGUGGAGUCUGUGUGUUUAAGCAGCACAACGGAUAGGUGUGAUAAUCUCACAUGGCAUGCAAGGCUGGGACAUCCUCAUGCCAAGGCAAUUGAACUGAUUCUACCAAGUAUGGCGUUCAAUCACUUGGAGUGUGAAGCUUGUAUACUUGGAAAGCACUGUAGGACUGUCUUCCCAACAUCAGAAACCAGAUAUGAGAAUUGCUUUGAUCUGGUGCAUUCAGACGUGUGGACAGCUCCCUGUAUGUCUAGAGACAGCCAUAAGUACUUUGUGACUUUCAUUGAUGAGAAGUCCAAGUACACAUGGAUCACCAUGAUUCCCUCCAAAGACAGAGUCCUAGAAGCCUUCAUGAACUUCCAAGCAUAUGUUACUAAUCAGUACAAUGCCACUGUGAGGAUUCUGAGGUCUGAUAAUGGAGGAGAAUACACUAGCAAUGCUUUCAAGAGUCAUCUUGCAAAGCAUGGGAUUGUGCAACAAACUAGCUGUCCUUACACACCACAACAAAAUGGGGUGGCUGAGAGGAAGAACAGACAUUUGAUGGAGGUUGCGAGAUCAAUCAUGUUCCACAUGAAUGUCCCUAAGAGGUUUUGGAGUGAUGCUGUUCAGACUGCUUGCUAUCUCAUCAAUAGAGUGCCAACCCGUGUCUUGAAGAAACUGUCUCCCUUUGAAGUAUUGAACAAGGCCAAGCCACACAUUGAUCAUUUGAGAGUCUUUGGGUGCUUAUGUUAUGUGAUGAUUCCCGGAGAAAGAAGGAACAAGCUAGAAGCAAAGAGUACUAAAGCUAUGUUCAUUGGGUACUCAAUCACUCAGAAAGGCUACAAAUGUUAUGAUCCAAUAACUAGGAGGGUUAUGGUAUCUAGAGAAGUGAAGUUUGUUGAGUCUAAAGGGUAUUAUGAGGAGAAGAAAUGGGAAGACCUAGAGGAUCUGUCCCGAGCUCCAUCAGAGAAGGCAACAACAUUGAGAGUGUUGUUGGAGAGGCUAGGGAUAGGAUUAUCCCAAGAUCAGGAACCAGGAAGAACCGGACCUUCUAAUCAAACUGGAGAAGCUGGAGGAACAACCCCUCUUGAUCAUGAGAGGGGGAAUGGAUCUGAAUCAGGGGAGCAGGAGCAUAACCAAGAGGAUUCAGGUCAGCAUGAUCAGGAGGAGACACAGGAAGUAGAGAGUGAAGCUCAGUCAGGUGGAAAUGAGCAGGGAGAACCUACUGGUUUAAGAGAGGAAGCACAAGAGAAUGUUCAGGCUGAAGAACAGGUUGAGACCUUGCGGAGGAGCACAAGGAUAAGGAGGGAUCCUUCCAACUGGGUAAACACGAGAGUGUACUACAAUGCCCAGGCUGUGGAGCAUCCCUCUCAAGCCGUGUGUUCCUUUGCAGAGUUUCCAGAAGAGCACAUGGUGUUUAUGUGUAACUUGGAUGAGAAUGAGAUACCAAGAUCUUAUGAAGAAGCUAUGAAGCACAAGGUUUGGAGAGAUUCAGUAGGAGAUGAAAGGGAUGCAAUGAUCAGGAAUGAUACUUGGUAUGAGAGUGAGUUACCUAAAGGGAAGAAGGCAGUUUCAAGCAGAUGGAUCUUCACCAUCAAGUACCUUGCAAAUGGGGAGAUAGAUAGGCGCAAGACUAGGCUGGUUGCAAGAGGAUUUACACAGACUUAUGGGGAAGAUUACAUUGAUACUUUUGCACCAGUGGCCAAGCUUCACACAAUUCGAAUUGUGUUAUCUAUUGCAACAAACUUGGAGUGGGAUUUGUGGCAAAUGGAUGUGAAGAAUGCUUUCUUGCAAGGUGAACUUGAAGAUGAAGUAUACAUGCAUCCACCUCCUGGUCUUGAGCAUCUAGUAAAGCCAGGGAAUGUUUUGAGAUUGAAGAAGGCUAUAUAUGGGCUGAAGCAGUCUCCUAGAGCUUGGUACAGAAAGCUUAGUACAACUCUCAAUGGGAGAGGGUUCAGGAAGUCUGAACUAGAUCAUACACUCUUCACACUGGUUGGACCAUCAGGGAUCAUAGUGAUUUUGGUGUAUGUGGAUGAUUUGAUUAUCACAGGGAGUGAUAAGGCUGGGAUUAAAGCCACCAAAGAGUUUCUCAAGUCUGUGUUUGAUAUUAAAGACUUGGGAGAGAUGAAGUAUUUUUUGGGGAUUGAGAUAUGCAGAUCUAAGGAGGGUUUGUUUAUGUCUCAAAGGAAGUAUACUAUGGAUAUGCUGAAGGAGACUGAUGUGCUUGGAGGGAAGAUAGCUAAGACACCUCUUGAGGAAGGGUAUAAGGUCUUGCGUGAGGGGGAGGUUGAAGAGAACCAGUUGUUUGAGGAUGCUAAGCUGUAUAGGAGGAUGGUGGGUAAGCUGAUCUACUUGACUAUCACCAGACCUGAUAUAUGCUUUGCUGUGAAUCAAGUGAGCCAACAUAUGCAGGCGCCAAAGGUACAUCACUGGAAGAUGGUUGAUAGGAUACUGAGGUAUUUGAGUGGCUCACAUGGACAAGGAGUUUGGAUGGGUUGCAAUGGCAGUACAGAAGUGGUUGGGUAUUGUGAUGCUGAUUGGGCAGGAGAUAGAGUGGACAGGAGAUCAACUACUGGGUAUUGUACAUUCAUUGGAGGGAAUCUGGUUACUUGGAAGAGUAAGAAGCAGAAGGUCAUCUCCUGUUCAAGUGCUGAAGCUGAGUAUAGAGCUAUGUUGAAGCUUACAAAUGAGUUGGUGUGGAUCAAGGGGAUCUUGAAGCACUUGGAGAUCGAGCAGGCCACACCUAUGACAAUGCAUUGUGACAAUCAAGCAGCUAUCCACAUUGCCUCCAAUUCAGUGUUUCAUGAGAGAACAAAGCACAUAGAGGUGGAUUGUCAUAAGGUGAGGCAGAUGAUCAUCUUAGGAGUGAUUCUGCCAUGUUAUACAAGAAGUGAAGAUCAGCUUGCAGAUGUGUUUACUAAGGCAGCGAGAUUGAAGACAAUGGAGUCCAUACUGUCAAGGCUUGGACUCAUUGAUCUGACUCCUAGGAGCUGAGCCCCUUAACCAUGGAGUCUCCACUCUUUUUCCCUCAUCAAGGUUUUAUCCCAAUGGGUUUUACUUGGUGAGGUUUUUAACGAGGGAGGUCUUCAUGGUUUCCAAGCUUGACUUGUUCUACAUGGUCAAGCUUGAGGGGGAGUAUUGAGAUGAAGACCAAGGAGGCUGAGACAGUAACUUUAGAGUUUUACUGUGGUAACUUUAUUUUAACCACAGUAACUACUUGGGGAAGUUAUCUGAUGGGAUGAGAAGGUAACUUAGUGAAGAGAAGAGAGGAAACUCGACCAAAGAGGAUAAGUGAGGUUAAGGAAGGAUAAGGGAUCACUUUGACAGCCUGUAUGAUGCUGGAAAGGAGAAGUUACCUUUAUACUAGUGCAAGCAUGUGAGAAAGCACAGCCAAGUGAUUCAAAAGGAGUUCCAGCCUGUCCCUUGACUACACAUGCUUAACCAUUUCGAAUUUCCUUGUUGCUCUCUCUAUUAAUACUUGUAAACCUCAUCAGUUAUUAAUUAAUGGAGUUUUGAGUCUCUCUCUCUUUAUUCUCUCACUAGAAUCUCUUAAUCUCUUUAAUCUUUUCAUCUGAUUGUCCCUAAUUGGUUGAAUCAUGCUCUAAUACACAAAAGUGUAUAGGUUUAGCAUUAGGGUUUUCGAUUUUCACUUUAAGAACAUGGGGGCUGCAGCCUUGUUUUCUCAACUUUCAAUCUAAGAAUUAUUCAGUCAACUUUGUUGUCUUGUCUCUAGCUUUCUCUGUUCAGCUCUAGAACAUUGAUCUCACUUAAAGGAAGGAAUUCCUGUGAAUCCCAUCUUAGACAAUACAAGGUGAUCUUGUGUCUUUGAGUAGCAAACCAUCCUUGGCGCCAACCCAUAGGCUCAGGGAGACGUCCACAGUUCAAAGGAGAGCUAGUAGCCUCUUAGAACAUCCUCUAUCCAUCCACCUUCAAGUGAUCCAGAGUUUAAGCCAUACCCAGGCUGCACCAAGUGGUAUCAGAGCCACUUGAAGGUUAGGGUUUGCAAUUUGACUACUCAGAUCAUUCAUUCCAUCAAACACUUCUCUUAUCUUUCUAUCUGUUGUAAGCCAGCUGAGCCAACCCUGCAAAUCAAAAAAAAAAAAAGAAAAGAAAAGAGAUCUCUGAUCCAAAUCAAAAAAAAAUAUAUAGCUGAAGAGUAAUCCAGCUAGCUGAGGAGAAAUCCAGCUCAGGGUGGUAAAGUCAGCUGGUGCCUAAAUCUCUUAAUACUUCCUAUCUGAUUCAUUGGGGUUUUAGUUCUAGAUCUUAAGUGUAGAACUUUGUUUUUCAACUGAACUUGUGGGAAGAGCUGAGACUUGGCGAUUUGAAAACUUGAGUGAGAGAGAGAUAUAAUUUUGUUCCUGGCUUUGUGUUUUCUCUAACUAUUUCAGGAACAAUGAGUGAAGAGAGGCGAGAUGGAAAGCAACCUGAGAGUUCAGGAGAACCGGCUGUCCAGCAAAUCAACCUCAACCAAGUUCAAUUUGAGGCUAUGAUAGCUGAGAUAACCAGAAGAAUGCAAAACACUUACAACCGUGUUCAACAAGCUAAUGAAACUUUACCUGGUGAUAAUGCAGGGCAAGAGAGGGACGCGGUUGCUGCUGGAGUUCAGAGAGCACGCAUUGGACCUAUAAGAGGGCAACGAGUUGAGCUUAGGGGUCGUGGGAUUUAUGGAGAACAUUAUCAAGAAGAUUCAGCUGAUGAAAGUGAUGAUGGAUCUCAGGCUAGUCAUCAUGGUAGAAAUCACAACCGCAGGCGACCAGCUACUGAUAACCUAGGCAAUCUCAAGCUUAGAAUCCCUCCAUUCCAUGGGAAGAAUGAUCCUGAUGCUUACUUAGAGUGGGAGAAGAAGAUUGAACUGGUUUUCAAUUGCCAACAGUUCACUGAGGAGAGGAAAGUGAGACUAGCAGCUACUGAAUUCUGUGGUUAUGCUAUUAGCUGGUGGGAUCAGAUUGCUACUACCAGGAGACGCAAUGGAGAGCCUCAGGUAGCUUCAUGGUUUGAGAUGAAAACUGUGAUGAAGAAGAGAUUUGUUCCUAAUCACUAUGGAAGAGAUCUACACCAGAAGUUGAGAAGGCUUUCUCAAGGAUCUAAGAGUGUAGAGGACUAUCACCAGGAGAUGGAAACACUCAUGUUGAAAGCUGACUUAGAAGAAGAAGUAGAAGCUACUAUGGCUAGAUUCCAAGGAGGUCUUAACAGAGAUAUACAAGAUAGGUUGGAGCUACAAGAGUAUGAGGACAUGGAUGAACUGCUACAUAAGGCUAUUUUGAUUGAGCAGCAGAACAAGAGGAAGAGCUCUACCCGGUCUUCAUACACCCCUGCCUCAAAACCGGCCUACUCCAAGGAAGAUAAGCCAGGGGAUAAGUCCAAAGAAGGGUCUUCUUCAGUGGAGAACAAGAGAGAUGACAAGGGUAAAGGAGUAGCCACACCUACUAAGACCAGGAACAUUAAGUGUUUCAAGUGUCAUGGCUUUGGUCACUAUGCUAAUGAGUGCACCAACAAGAAGGUGAUGACUAUCUUAGCCGACGGGGAGGUGAUAUCUGAAGAGGAGGACGCCGGCCAAGAGUCUGAUGAGGAAGGCGUGGAGUACCCUGUCCGUGGAGAGCUAUUAGUCACCAGGAGACUUCUCAAUGCUCAACCUAAACCCAAAGAAGAUGAGCAAAGGGAAAACUUGUUUCACACCAGAUGCUUGAUUCAAGAAAAGGUUUGUAGCUUGAUCAUUGAUGGAGGAAGUUGUACUAAUGUAGCAAGUGCUGAGUUGGUGGAGAAGUUGGGUCUUCAAGUGUUCAAGCAUCCUAAGCCAUAUCUGUUGCAAUGGAUCAAUGAUGAGGGAGGAUUAAAGAUCACCAAGCAAGUGAAGGUAUUGCUAUCAGUGGGAAAGUACCAGGAUGAGAUCACUUGUGAUGUAGCACCCCUGGAAGCUAGUCACAUCCUUCUUGGACGUCCAUGGCAGUAUGAUAAGAGAUCAGUACAUGAUGGCUUUACCAACAGAUACACUUUUAUCCAUAAGGAGAAACAAGUUACCCUGGCGCCAAUGACCCCUCAGGAGGUACACCAGGAUCAGAUGCAUCUCAAAAUGAAGAGAGGAGAGUCCAAGGCCGCCAGCAAAUCCUUGCUUCUUGAAGAGACCAGCCAGGUAAGUAAACUCAACCUCUUUGCUACUGCUAAAGAUAUCAAAACUGCUGUGAUUGAACAAUCAAAUUUGAUACUAGUAGUUUACAAAGAAUUGUUGAGCUCUACUACUAACCCUGCUCCUGAGACUCCAGAGGAGAUUGAGUGUCUUUUGCAGGAGUAUAGAGAUGUGUUCCCAGAGGACAAUCCCAUAGGUCUGCCGCCUAUUAGGGGAAUAGAGCACCAGAUUGACUUUGUACCAGGAGCUACUUUACCAAACCGUCCAGCAUACAGGACCAACCCUGUGGAGACUAAGGAGCUUCAGAAACAAGUCAAUGAGCUAAUGGAGAAGGGACAUAUCAGGGAGAGUAUGAGUCCUUGUGCUGUACCUGUCCUCUUGGUGCCAAAAAAAGAUGGAAGCUGGAGGAUGUGUGUGGACUGCAGAGCCAUCAACAACAUAACAGUUAAGUACAGACAUCCUAUUCCUCGCUUAGAUGAUAUGCUAGAUGAGUUACAUGGUUCAUGUGUCUUUUCUAAAAUUGAUUUAAAGAGUGGUUACCACCAGAUUAGAAUGAAAGAAGGAGAUGAGUGGAAAACUGCCUUUAAAACUAAGCUAGGAUUGUAUGAAUGGCUUGUGAUGCCUUUUGGGCUUACUAAUGCACCUAGUACCUUCAUGAGAUUAAUGAAUCAUGUCUUGAGAGCUUUGAUAGGACGAUUUGUAGUUGUUUACUUUGAUGAUAUCCUGAUUUACAGCAAGACUAUGAAAGAACAUGUUAAUCACUUGAAGCAAGUUCUAGAUGUGCUUAGAAAAGAAAAUCUGUAUGCUAACUAUAAGAAGUGCUCUUUUGGCACAGAUAACCUUGUCUUUUUAGGUUUUGUUGUGACUUCACAGGGCAUACAGGUUGAUGAGGAAAAGGUGAAGGCUAUCAGGGAGUGGCCGAUUCCUAAAUCUAUUGGAGAGGUCAGAAGUUUUCAUGGACUUGCUGGCUUCUACCGGAGGUUUGUGAGAGAUUUCAGUACAGUUGCAGCACCCCUGACUGAAGUAGUCAAGAAGAGUGUAGGUUUCACUUGGGGACCAGCACAAGAAGAGGCAUUUCAAAUGCUAAAAGAGAAGUUAACAAGUGCUCCCUUACUUGCACUUCCUGACUUUUCUAAGACUUUUGAAAUUGAAUGUGAUGCAUCUGGUAUUGGAAUUGGAGCUGUGUUGAUGCAGGAUAAGAAACCCAUAGCUUAUUUCAGUGAGAAGCUAGGAGGCGCCACCUUAAACUAUCCUACCUAUGACAAGGAGCUGUAUGCCUUGGUGAGAGCUUUACAAGUGUGGCAACAUUACUUGUGGCCUAAGGAGUUUGUGAUCCAUACAGAUCAUGAAUCCCUUAAACAUCUCAAAGGGCAACAGAAGCUGAACAAGAGACACGCCAGGUGGGUGGAGUUCAUUGAGACCUUUCCUUAUGUCAUUCACUACAAGAAAGGUAAGGAGAACGUAGUGGCUGAUGCACUCUCCAGAAGGUAUACUCUUUUAUCUUCAAUGGAAACUAAACUCUUAGGAUUUGAACACAUCAAAUCUUGCUAUGCUAAUGAUCCUGAGUUUAAAGAUGUGUUUAGAGAAUCUGAGAAACAUGCUAGUGGAAAAUUCUAUCAAGUAAAAGGAUUUCUUUUCUAUGAUAACCGCCUGUGUGUUCCUAGUGGUUCUUUGAGAGAAUUGUAUGUUAGGGAAGCUCACGCAGGAGGGCUGAUGGGACACUUUGGGGUCGCCAAAACACUCUCCACCUUGCAGGAGCACUUCUACUGGCCGAGUAUGAAGAAAGAAGUGGAGCGUGUGUGCUCAAGGUGUGUCGUGUGCAAGCAAGCCAAGUCUAAGGUCCAACCAACAGGUUUGUAUACACCUCUCCCUAUUCCUACUGCACCAUGGAUUGAUAUCUCUAUGGACUUUGUCUUAGGAUUGCCUAGAACUAGGAAAGGAAGAGAUAGCAUCUUUGUGGUUGUUGAUAGAUUUUCUAAGAUGGCUCACUUCAUACCUUGUCAUAAAACUGAUGAUGCAUCUUUGGUAGCUGAUCUAUUCUUUAGAGAAGUUGUUAGAUUGCAUGGUAUGCCUAGGACUAUAGUUUCUGAUAGAGAUACUAAGUUCCUUAGCUAUUUCUGGAAAACUCUGUGGGGAAAGUUGGGAACUAAGCUAUUGUUUUCAACUACUUGUCAUCCCCAAACUGAUGGUCAAACUGAAUCAGUCAAUAGGACAUUGUCUACUCUUUUGCGUGCCAUCAUUAAGAGUAACAUUAGGACAUGGGAGGAUUGUUUACCACAUGUAGAGUUUGCAUAUAACAGAGCAGUGCAUUCAGCUACUAAACUCUCUCCUUUUCAAGUUGUUUAUGGGUUUAACCCAUUGUCUCCUCUUGAUUUAUUUGCUUUACCUUUAAAAGAACAAACUAACCUUGAUGGCAAGCAAAAGGCCGAGUUUGUUUUGUCUUUGCAUGAACAGGUCAGGAAGAACAUUGAGGAGAGGACCAAGAUGUAUGAGAGGCAGAAGAACAAGGGGCGCAAGGAGCUAGUACUUGAACCGGGUGAUCUUGUGUGGAUUCACAUGAGAAAAGAGAGGUUUCCUGUUGAGAGGAAAUCAAAGUUGCUGCCAAGGAAAGAUGGACCUUUCAAAGUGCUGAAGAGAAUCAACAACAAUGCCUACCAGAUUGAUCUUGAAGGGAAAUACACAAUCAGUUCUACUUUCAAUGUUUCUGACUUGGAUCCUUUUAUUGCAGAUGAUUUGGAUUUGAGGUCAAAUCCUUUUAAAGGAGGAGGGGAUGGUGUAGCCAUGAGUAGAGACAUUGGAGAGCUGAGUGAGUCUGAUGAGGGAGAGCCAGACUUGAGAAGAGAAGAGCCAGACUUGAGCAGAGAAGAACCAGAGCCAGACUUGAGCAGAGAAGAACCAGACUUGAGCAGAGAAGAACCAAAUGAGCUAGCCAGCUUGUGGAGUGGACCAGUAACCAGAUCAAGACUGAGAGCACAAGAGGAGAGGCUCCAGGAGAUAGCCAAAACCGUGGGCCUUGGUUCAAGACAAGGAGAUCAAGAUAAACCAGCUUGUUGGUUUAAUUUAAUUACUUUGUAAGGGUUUUGGUUAUUGGGCUUUCAUUUAAUUUAAACCAAAGACAAUUAGGAUUAGAAUUAGAAUUAAACCACCUUGGUUUAGCAUUAGGGUUUUCGAUUUUCACUUUAAGAACAUGGGGGCUGCAGCCUUGUUUUCUCAACUUUCAAUCUAAGAAUUAUUCAGUCAACUUUGUUGUCUUGUCUCUAGCUUUCUCUGUUCAGCUCUAGAACAUUGAUCUCACUUAAAGGAAGGAAUUCCUGUGAAUCCCAUCUUAGACAAUACAAGGUGAUCUUGUGUCUUUGAGUAGCAAACCAUCCUUGGCGCCAACCCAUAGGCUCAGGGAGACGUCCACAGUUCAAAGGAGAGCUAGUAGCCUCUUAGAACAUCCUCUAUCCAUCCACCUUCAAGUGAUCCAGAGUUUAAGCCAUACCCAGGCUGCACCACAACUUCCUAGUGAUUCUCCAUUACUUUAUGUAUCAAAAUCAAGAUUCUUACAUCGCGAUUCAUCCUGGUUUGAUUAGAAUGACAAAGAAGCUGUCAUAUUCCCAAACAGGAAAACUGGGAUCACCUGAUUUGAAAGUGGGAUAGCUUCUUCAUCCUAACUCCUAUGAGAUUUCUUCUACUUCCUAGUGAUUCUCCAUUACUUUAUGUAUCAAAAUCAAGCUUCUUAUAUCGCGAUUCAUCCUGGUUCAAUUAGAAUGACAAGGAAGCUGUUAUAUUCCCAAACAGGAAAACUGGGAUCACCUGAUUUGAAAGUGGGAUAGCUUCUAUAUCCUAACUCCUAUGAGAUUUAUUCAACUUCCUAGUGAUUCUCCAUUACUUUAUGUAUCAAAAUCAAGCUUCUUACAUCAAGAUUCAUCCUGGUUUGAUUAGAAUGACAAAGAAGCUAUCACAUUCCCAAACAGGAAAACUGGGAUCACCUGAUUUGAAAGUGGGAUAGCUUCUUCAUCCUAACUCCUAUGAGAUUUAUUCAACUUCCUAGUGAUUCUCCAUUACUUUAUGUAUCAAAAUCAAGCUUCUUAUAUCGCGAUUCAUCCUGGUUCUAUUAGAAUGACAAGGAAGCUGUUAUAUUCCCAAACAGGAAAACUGGGAUCACCUGACUUGAAAGUGGGAUAGCUUCUUCGUCCUAACUCCUAUGAGAUUUAUUCAACUUUCUAGUGAUUCACCAUUACUUUAUGUAUCAAAAUCAAGCUUCUUACAUCACGAUUCAUCCUGGUUUGAUUAGAAUGACAAAGAAGCUGUCAUAUUCCCAAACAGGAAAACUGGGAUCACCUGAUUUGGAAGUGGGAUAGCUUCUUCAUCCUAACUCCAAUGAGAUUUAUUCAAUUUCCUAGUGAUUCUCCAUUACUUUAUGUAUCAAAAUCAAGCUUCUUAUAUCGCGAUUCAUCCUGGUUCAAUUAGAAUGACAAGGAAGCUGUUAUAUUCCCAAACAGGAAAACUCGGAUCACCUGAUUUGUAAGUGGGAUAGCUUCUUCAUCCUAACUCCUAUGAGAUUUAUUCAACUUCCUAGUGAUUCUCCAUUACUUUAUAUAUCAGAAUCAAGCUUCUUACAUCGCGAUUCAUCCUGGUUUGAUUAGAAUGACAAAAAAGCUGUCAUAUUCCCAAACAGGAAAACUGGAUCACCUGAUUUGAAAGUAGGAUAGCUUCUUCAUCCUAACUCCUAUGAGAUUUAUUCAACUUCCUAGUGAUUCUCCAUUACUUUAUAUAUCAAAAUCAAGCUUCUUACAUCGCGAUUCAUCCUGGUUUGAUUAGAAUGACAAAGAAGCUGUCAUAUUCCCAAACAGGAAAAGUGGGAUCACCUGAUUUGAAAGUGGGAUAGCUUCUUCAUCCUAACUCCUAUGAGAUUUAUUCAACUUCCUAGUGAUUCACCAUUACUUUAUGUAUCAAAAUCAAGCUUCUUACAUCACGAUUCAUCCUGGUUUGAUUAGAAUGACAAAGAAGCUGUCAUAUUCCCAAACAGGAAAACUGGGAUCACCUGAUUUGAAAGUGGGAUAGCUUCUUCAUCCUAACUCCUAUGAGAUUUAUUCAACUCCCUAGUCAUACACCAUUACUUUAUGUAUCAAAAUCAAGCUUCUUACAUCAAGAUUCAUCCUGGUUUGAUUAGAAUGACAAAGAAGCUAUCAUAUUCCCAAACAGGAAAACUGGGAUCACCUGAUUUGAAAGUGGGAUAGCUUCUUCAUCCUAACUCCAAUGAGAUUUAUUCAACUUCCUAGUGAUUCUCCAUUACUUUAUGUAUCAAAAUCAAGCUCCUUAUAUCGCUAUUCAUCCUGGUUCUAUUAGAAUGACAAAGAAGCUGUUAUAUUCCGAAACUGGAAAACUGGGAUCACCUGAUUUGAAGGUGGGAUAGCUUAUUCAUCCUAACUCCCAUGAGAUUUAUUCAACUUCCUAGUGAUUCUCCAUUACUUUAUGUAUCAAAAUCAAGCUUCUUACAUCGCGAUUCAUCCUGGUUUGAUUAGAAUGACAAAGAAGCUGUCAUAUUCCCAAACAGGAAAACUGGGAUCACCUGAUUUGAAAGUGGGAUAGCUUCUUCAUCCUAACUCCUAUGAGAUUUCCAUUACUUUAUAUAUCAGAAUCAAGCUUCUUACAUCGCGAUUCAUCCUGGUUUGAUUAGAAUGACAAAAAGGCUGUCAUAUUCCCAAACAGGAAAACUGGAUCACCUGAUUUGAAAGUGGGAUAGCUUCUUCAUCCUAACUCCUAUGAGAUUUAUUCAACUUCCUAGUGAUUCUCCAUUACUUUAUGUAUCAAAAUCAAGCUUCUUACAUCGCGAUUCAUCCUGGUUUGAUUAGAAUGACAAAGAAGCUGUCAUAUUCCCAAACAGGAAAACUGGGAUCACCUGAUUUGAAAGUGGGAUAGCUUCUUCAUCCUAACUCCUAUGAGAUUUAUUCAACUUCCUAGUGAUUCUCCAUUACUUUAUGUAUCAAAAUCAAGCUUCUUACAUCACGAUUCAUCUGGUUGAUUAGAAUGACAAAGAAGCUGUCAUAUUCCCAAACAGGAAAACUGGGAUCACCUGAUUUGAAAGUGGGAUAGCUUCUUCAUCCUAACUCCUAUGAGAUUUAUUCAACUUCCUAGUGAUUCUCCAUUACUUUAUGUAUCAAAAUCAAGCUUCUUACAUCGCGAUUCAUCCUGGUUUGAUUAGAAUGACAAAGAAGCUGUCAUAUUCCCAAACAGGAAAACUGGGAUCACCUGAUUUGAAAGUGGGAUAGCUUCUUCAUCCUAACUCCUAUGAGAUUUAUUCAACUUCCUAGUGAUUCUCCAUUACUUUAUGUAUCAAAAUCAAGCUUCUUACAUCGCGAUUCAUCCUGGUUUGAUUAGAAUGACAAAGAAGCUGUCAUAUUCCCAAACAGGAAAACUGGGAUCACCUGAUUUGAAAGUGGGAUAGCUUCUUCAUCCUAACUCCUAUGAGAUUUAUUCAACUUCCUAGUGAUUCUCCAUUACUUUAUAUAUCAAAAUCAAGCUUCUUACAUCGCGAUUCAUCCUGGUUUGAUUAGAAUGACAAAAAAGCUGUCAUAUUCCCAAACAGGAAAACUGGAUCACCUGAUUUGAAAGUAGGAUAGCUUCUUCAUCCUAACUCCUAUGAGAUUUAUUCAACUUCCUAGUGAUUCUCCAUUACUUUAUGUAUCAAAAUCAAGCUUCUUACAUCGCGAUUCAUCCUGGUUUGAUUAGAAUGACAAAGAAGCUGUCAUAUUCCCAAACAGGAAAACUGGGAUCACCUGAUUUGAAAGUGGGAUAGCUUCUUCAUCCUAACUCCUAUGAGAUUUAUUCAACUUCCUAGUGAUUCUCCAUUACUUUAUGUAUCAAAAUCAAGCUUCUUACAUCGCGAUUCAUCCUGGUUUGAUUAGAAUGACAAAGAAGCUGUCAUAUUCCCAAACAGGAAAACUGGGAUCACCUGAUUUGAAAGUGGGAUAGCUUCUUCAUCCUAACUCCUAUGAGAUUUAUUCAACUUCCUAGUGAUUCUCCAUUACUUUAUGUAUCAAAAUCAAGCUUCUUACAUCGCGAUUCAUCCUGGUUUGAUUAGAAUGACAAGGAAGCUGUCAUAUUCCGACACAGGAAAACUGAGAUCACCUGAUUUGAAAGUGGGAUAGCUUCUUCAUCCUAACUCCUAUGAGAUUUAUUCAACUUCCUAGUGAUUCUCCAUUACUUUAUGUAUCGAAUCAAGCUUCUUACAUCGCGAUUCAUCCUGGUUUGAUUAGAAUAACAAAGAAGCUGUCAUAUUCCCAAACAGGAAAACUGGGAUCACCUGGUUUGAAAGUGGGAUAGCUUCUUCAUCCUAACUCCUAUGAGAUUUAUUCAACUUUCUAGUGAUUCUCCAUUACUUUAUGUAUCAAAAUCAAGUUUCUUACAUCGCGAUUCAUCCUGGUUUAUUUAGAAUAACAAAGAAGCUGUCAUAUUCCCAAACAGGAAAACUGGGAUCACCUGAUUUGAAAGUGGGAUAGCUUCUUCAUCCUAACUCCUACGAGAUUUAUUCAACUUCCUAGUGAUUCUCCAUUACUUUAUGUAUCAAAAUCAAGCUUCUUACAUCGCGAUUCAUCCUGGUUUGAUUAGAAUGACAAAGAAGCUGUCAUAUUCCCAAACAGGAAAUUGGGAUCACCCGAUUUGAAAGUGGGAUAGCUUCUUCAUCCUAACUCCUAUGAGAUUUAUUCAACUUCCUAGUGAUUCUCCAUUACUUUAUGUAUCAAAAUCAAGCUUCUUACAUCGCGAUUCAUCCUGGUUUAUUAGAAUGACAAAGAAGCUGUCAUAUUCCCAAACAGGAAAACUGGGAUCACCUGAUUUGAAAGUGGGAUAGCUUCUUCAUCCUAACUCCUAUGAGAUUUAUUCAACUUCCUAGUGAUUCUCCAUUACUUUAUGUAUCAAAAUCAAGCUUCUUACAUCGCGAUUCAUCCUGGUUUGAUUAGAAUGACAAAGAAGCUGUCAUAUUCCCAAACAGGAAAACUGGGAUCACCUGAUUUGAAAGUGGGAUAGCUUCUUCAUCCUAACUCCUAUGAGAUUUAUUCAACUUCCUAGUGAUUCUCCAUUACUUUAUGUAUCAAAAUCAAGCUUCUUACAUCGCGAUUCAUCCUGGUUUGAUUAGAAUGACAAAGAAGCUGUCAUAUUCCCAAACAGGAAAACUGGGAUCACCUGAUUUGAAAGUGGGAUAGCUUCUUCAUCCUAACUCCUAUGAGAUUUAUUCAACUUCCUAGUGAUUCUCCAUUACUUUAUGUAUCAAAAUCAAGCUUCUUACAUCGCGAUUCAUCCUGGUUUGAUUAGAAUGACAAAGAAGCUGUCAUAUUCCCAAACAGGAAAACUGGGAUCACCUGAUUUGAAAGUGGGAUAGCUUCUUCAUCCUAACUCCUAUGAGAUUUAUUCAACUUCCUAGUGAUUCUCCAUUACUUUAUGUAUCAAAAUCAAGCUUCUUACAUCGCGAUUCAUCCUGGUUUGAUUAGAAUGACAAAGAAGCUGUCAUAUUCCCAAACAGGAAAACUGGGAUCACCUGAUUUGAAAGUGGGAUAGCUUCUUCAUCCUAACUCCUAUGAGAUUUAUUCAACUUCCUAGUGAUUCUCCAUUACUUUAUGUAUCAAAAUCAAGCUUCUUACAUCGCGAUUCAUCCUGGUUUGAUUAGAAUAACAAAGAAGCUGUCAUAUUCCCAACAGGAAAACUGGGAUCACCUGAUUUGAAAGUGGGAUAGCUUCUUCAUCCUAACUCCUAUGAGAUUUAUUCAACUUCCUAGUGAUUCUCCAUUACUUUAUGUAUCAAAAUCAAGCUUCUUACAUCGAUUCAUCCUGGUUUGAUUAGAAUGACAAAGAAGCUGUCAUAUUCCCAAACAGGAAAACUGGGAUCACCUGAUUUGAAAGUGGGAUAGCUUCUUCAUCCUAACUCCUAUGAGAUUUAUUCAACUUCCUAGUGAUUCUCCAUUACUUUAUGUAUCAAAAUCAAGCUUCUUACAUCGCGAUUCAUCCUGGUUUGAUUAGAAUGACAAAGAAGCUGUCAUAUUCCCAAACAGGAAAACUGGGAUCACCUGAUUUGAAAGUGGGAUAGCUUCUUCAUCCUAACUCCUAUGAGAUUUAUUCAACUUCCUAGUGAUUCUCCAUUACUUUAUGUAUCAAAAUCAAGCUUCUUACAUCACGCGAUUCAUCCUGGUUUGAUUAGAAUGACAAAGAAGCUGUCAUAUUCCCAAACAGGAAAACUGGGAUCACCUGAUUUGAAAGUGGGAUAGCUUCUUCAUCCUAACUCCUAUGAGAUUUCUUCAACUUCCUAGUGAUUCUCCAUUACUUUAUGUAUCAAAAUCAAGCUUCUUACAUCGCGAUUCAUCCUGGUUUGAUUAGAAUGACAAAGAAGCUGUCAUAUUCCCAAACAGGAAAACUGGGAUCACCUGAUUUGAAAGUGGGAUAGCUUCUUCAUCCUAACUCCUAUGAGAUUUAUUCAACUUCCUAGUGAUUCUCCAUUACUUUAUGUAUCAAAAUCAAGCUUCUUACAUCGCGAUUCAUUCUGGUUUGAUUAGAAUGACAAAGAAGCUGUCAUAUUCCCAAACAGGAAACUGGGAUCACCCGAUUUGAAAGUGGGAUAGCUUCUUCAUCCUAACUCCUAUGAGAUUUAUUCAACUUCCUAGUGAUUCUACAUUACUUUAUGUAUCAAAAUCAAGCUUCUUACAUCGCGAUUCAUCCUGGUCUGAUUAGAAUGACAAAGAAGCUGUCAUAUUCCCAAACAGGAAAACUGGGAUCACCUGAUUUGAAAGUGGGAUAGCUUCUUCAUCCUAACUCCUAUGAGAUUUAUUCAACUUCCUAGUGAUUCUCCAUUACUUUAUGUAUCAAAAUCAAGCUUCUUACAUCGCGAUUCAUCCUGGUUUGAUUAGAAUGACAAAGAAGCUGUCAUAUUCCCAAACAGGAAAACUGGGAUCACCUGAUUUGAAAGUGGGAUAGCUUCUUCAUCCUAACUCCUAUGAGAUUUUAUUCAACUUCCUAGUGAUUCUCCAUUACUUUAUGUAUCAAAAUCAAGCUUCUUACAUCGCGAUUCAUCCUGGUUUGAUUAGAAUGACAAAGAAGCUGUCAUAUUCCCAAAUAGGAAAACUGGGAUCACCUGAUUUGAAAGUGGGAUAGCUUCUUCAUCCUAACUCCUAUGAGAUUUAUUCAACUUUCUAGUGAUUCUCCAUUACUUUAUGUAUCAAAAUCAAGCUUCUUACAUCGCGAUUCAUCCUGGUUUGAUUAGAAUGACAAGGAAGCUGUCAUAUUCCGAAACAUGAAAACUGGGAUCACCUGAUUUGAAAGUGGGAUUGCUUCUUCAUCCUAACUCCUAUGAGAUUUAUUCAACUUCCUAAUGAUUCUCCAUUACUUUAUGUAUCAAAUCAAGCUUCUUAUAUCGCGAUUCAUCCUGGUUUGAUUAGAAUAACAAAGAAGCUAUCAUAUUCCAAAACAGGAAAACUGGGAUCACCUGAUUUGAAAGUGGGAUAGCUUCUUCAUCCUAACUCCUAUGAGAUUUAUUCAACUUUCUAGUGAUUCUCCAUUACUUUAUGUAUCAAAAUCAAGCUUCUUACAUAGCAAUUCGUCCUGGUUUGAUUAGAAUGACAAAGAAGCUGUCAUAUUCCCAAACAGGAAAACUGGGAUCACCUGAUUUGAAAGUGGGAUAGCUUCUUCAUCCUAACUCCUAUGAGAUUUCUUCAACUUCCUAGUGAUUCUCCAUUACUUUAUGUAUCAAAAUCAAGCUUCUUACAUCGCGAUUCAUCCUGGUUUGAUUAGAAUGACAAAGAAGCUGUCAUAUUCCCAAACAGGAAAAUUGGGAUCACCUGAUUUGAAAGUGGGACAGCUUCUUCAUCCUAACUCCUAUGAGAUUUAUUCAACUUCCUAGUGAUUCUCCAUUACUUUAUGUAUCAAAAUAAAGCAUCUUACAUAGCGAUUCAUUCUGGUUUGAUGAGAAUGAUAAGGAAGCUGUCAUAUUCCCAAACAGGAAAACUGGGAUCACCUGAUUUGAAAGUGGAAUAGCUUCUUCAUUCUAACUCCUAUGAGAUUUAUUCAACUUCCUAGUGAUUAUCCAUUGCUUUAUGUUUCAAAAUCAAGCUUCUUACAUCGCGAUUCAUCCUGGUUUGAUUAGAAUGACAAGGAAGCUGUCAUAUUCCCAAACAGGAAAACUGGGAUCACCUGAUUUGAAAGUGGGAUAGCUUCUUCAUCCUAACUCCUAUGAGAUUUAUUCAACUUCCUAGUGAUUCUCCAUUACUUUAUGUAUCAAAAUCAAGCUUCUUACAUCGCGAUUCAUCCUGGUUUAGAAUGACAAAGAAGCUGUCAUAUUCCCAAACAGGAAAACUGGGAUCACCUGAUUUGAAAGUGGGAUAGCUUCUUCAUCCUAACUCCUAUGAGAUUUAUUCAACUUCCUAGUGAUUCUCCAUUACUUUGUAUCAAAAUCAAGCUUCUUACAUCGCGAUUCGUUCUGGUUUGAUUAGAUUGACAAAGAAGCUGUCAAAUUCCCAAACAGGAAAACUGGGAUCACCUGAUUUGAAAGUGGGACAGCUUCUUCAUCCUAACUCCUAUGAGAUUUAUUCAACUUCCUAGUGAUUCUCCAUUACUUUAUGUAUCAAAAUCAAGCUUCUUACAUCACGAUUCAUCCUGGUUUGAUUAGAAUGACAAAGAAGCUGUCAUAUUCCCAAAUAGGAAAACUGGGAUCACCUGAUUUGAAAGUGGGAUAGCUUCUUCAUCCUAACUCCUAUGAGAUUUAUUCAACUUCCUAGUGAUUCUCCAUUACUUUAUAUAUCAAAAUCAAGCUUCUUACAUCGCGAUUCAUCCUGGUUUGAUUAGAAUGACAAAGAAGCUGUCAUAUUCCCAAACAGGAAAAUGGGAUCACCUGAUUUGAAAGUGGGAUAGCUUCUUCAUCCUAACUCCUAUGAGAUUUAUUCAACUUCCUAGUGAUUCUCCAUUACUUUAUGUAUCAAAAUCAAGCUUCUUACAUCGCGAUUCAUUCUGGUUUGAUUAGAAUGACAAAGAAGCUGUCAUAUUCCCAAACAGGAAAACUGGGAUCACCUGAUUUGAAAGUGGGAUAGCUUCUUCAUCCUAACUCCUAUGAGAUUUAUUCAACUUCCUAGUGAUUCUCCAUUACUUUAUGUAUCAAAAUCAAGCUUCUUACAUCGCGAUUCAUCCUGGUUUGAAUAGAAUGACAAAGAAGCUGUCAUAUUCCCAAACAGGAAAAUUGGGAUCACCUGAUUUGAAAGUGGGAUAGCUUCUUCAUCCUAACUCCUAUGAGAUUUCUUCAACUUCCUAGUGAUUCUCCAUUACUUUAUGUAUCAAAAUCAAGCUUCUUACAUCGCGAUUCAUUCUGGUUUGAUUAGAAUGACAAAGAAGCUGUCAUAUUCCCAAACAGGAAAACUGGGAUCACCUGAUUUGAAAGUGGGAUAGCUUCUUCAUCCUAACUCCUAUGAGAUUUAUUCAACUUCCUAGUGAUUCUCCAUUACUUUAUGUAUCAAAAUCAAGCUUCUUACAUCGCGAUUCAUCCUGGUUUGAUUAGAAUGACAAGGAAGCUGUUAUAUUCCAAAACAGGAAAACUGGGAUCACCUGAUUUGAAAGUGGCAUAGCUUCUUCAUCCUAACUCCUAUGAGAUUUAUUCAACUUCCUAGUGAUUCACCAUUACUUUAUGUAUCAAAAUCAAGCUUCUUACAUCACGAUUCAUCCUGGUUUGAUUAGAAUUACAAAGAAGCUGUCAUAUUCCCAAACAGGAAAACUGGGAUCACCUGAUUUGAAAGUGGGAUAGCUUCUUCAUCCUAACUCCUAUGAGAUUUCUUCAACUUCCUAGUGAUUCUCCAUUACUUUAAGUAUCAAAAUCAAGCUUCUUACAUCGCGAUUCAUCCUGGUUUGAAUAGAAUGACAAAGAAGCUGUCAUAUUCCCAAACAGGAAAACUGGGAUCACCUGAUUUGAAAGUGGGAUAGCUUCUUCAUCCUAACUCCUAUGAGAUUUAUUCAACUUCCUAGUGAUUCUCCAUUACUUUAUAUAUCAAAAUCAAGCUUCUUACAUCGCGAUUCAUCCUGGUUUGAUUAGAAUGACAAAGAAGCUGUCAUAUUCCCAAACAGGAAAACUGGGAUCACCUGAUUUGAAAGUGGGAUAGCUUCUUCAUCCUAACUCCUAUGAGAUUUCUUCAACUUCCUAGUGAUUCUCCAUUACUUUAUGUAUCAAAAUCAAGCUUCUUACAUCGCGAUUCAUUCUGGUUUGAUUAGAAUGACAAAGAAGCUGUCAUAUUCCCAAACAGGAAAACUGGGAUCACCUGAUUUGAAAGUGGGAUAGCUUCUUCAUCCUAACUCCUAUGAGAUUUUAUUCAACUUCCUAGUGAUUCUCCAUUACUUUAUGUAUCAAAAUCAAGCUUCUUACAUCACGAUUCAUCCUGGUUUGAUUAGAAUGACAAAGAAGCUGUCAUAUUCCCAAACAGGAAAAGUGGGAUCACCUGAUUUGAAAGUGGGAUAGCUUCUUCAUCCUAACUCCUAUGAGAUUUAUUCAACUUCCUAGUGAUUCUCCAUUACUUUAUGUAUCAAAAUCAAGCUUCUUACAUCGCGAUUCAUCCUGGUUUGAAUAGAAUGACAAAGAAGCUGUCAUAUUCCCAAACAGGAAAACUGGGAUCACCUGAUUUGAAAGUGGGACAGCUUCUUCAUCCUAACUCCUAUGAGAUUUCUUCAACUUCCUAGUGAUUCUCCAUUACUUUAUAUAUCAAAAUCAAGCUUCUUACAUCGCGAUUCAUUCUGGUUUGAUUAGAAUGACAAAGAAGCUGUCAUAUUCCCAAACAGGAAAAGUGGGAUCACCUGAUUUGAAAGUGGGAUAGCUUCUUCAUCCUAACUCCUAUGAGAUUUAUUCAACUUCCUAGUGAUUCUCCAUUACUUUAUGUAUCAAAAUCAAGCUUCUUACAUUGCGAUUCAUCCUGGUUUGAUUAGAAUGACAAGGAAGCUGUUAUAUUCCAAAACAGGAAAACUGGGAUCACCUGAUUUGAAAGUGGGAUAGCUUCUUCAUCCUAACUCCUAUGAGAUUUCUUCAACUUCCUAGUGAUUCUCCAUUACUUUAAGUAUCAAAAUCAAGCUUCUUACAUCACGAUUCAUCCUGGUUUGAUUAGAAUGACAAAGAAGCUGUCAUAUUCCCAAACAGGAAAACUGGGAUCACCUGAUUUGAAAGUGGGAUAGCUUCUUCAUCCUAACUCCUAUGAGAUUUCUUCAACUUCCUAGUGAUUCUCCAUUACUUUAUAUAUCAAAAUCAAGCUUCUUACAUCGCGAUUCAUCCUGGUUUGAUUAGAAUGACAAAGAAGCUGUCAUAUUCCCAAACAGGAAAACUGGGAUCACCUGAUUUGAAAGUGGGAUAGCUUCUUCAUCCUAACUCCUAUGAGAUUUCUUCAACUUCCUAGUGAUUCUCCAUUACUUUAUGUAUCAAAAUCAAGCUUCUUACAUCGCGAUUCAUCCUGGUUUGAAUAGAAUGACAAAGAAGCUGUCAUAUUCCCAAACAGGAAAAUUGGGAUCACCUGAUUUGAAAGUGGGAUAGCUUCUUCAUCCUAACUCCUAUGAGAUUUAUUAAACUUCCUAGUGAUUCUCCAUUACUUUAUGUAUUAAAAUCAAGCUUCUUACAUCGCGAUUCAUCCUGAUUCUAUUAGAAUGACAAGGUAUGAUUUUUAAAGAGAUCUCUACUCUUGUAGUAUGUGUGUAUGGAUAAUCUCCAAUGGAGAAUGAUUAGAGCUUGUUUUAGGUGAUUUAGGAGAGAGGUUGAAGAGAGUGUAUAAGAGAAUUAGGAACAGAGAUUAAGAGACUAGAGAGACUGAGAGAAUAAGUGUUUCAGAUUCAUGAAGGAGAAGGGAAACCCCCUUACUCACUUAGUUCAUACAAAAUGCCACAUAUAAGCUUAUAUAUGCUCUUACAAGAUGCAAAUCAUAAACCUAAAUCUAAUGGCUGAUAUAACUUGAAUUUAAAUGGAUGGAUAGGAUGGAGAGUAAGGCUGGUCGUGAUUCUUCAUUGGCUGUGCUCUUGUUGCUUCAUGAUUGGCUCAUUUGAAUCUGGUCAAUGUGGAGACUGGUGCCUGAUUGGUUGCUUAAGGCUCCCUUGAACUUUCCCAUAUAUCAGACUAGAUACAUGGUCAUACACAGCUCUUGGCCAGCCUGUUCCAGCCUGUCUUUUGGCGCCAGCUUCCUUCUUUUGUCUUCUUCUCUUAAUAGCUACCUCUGCCCUAUUUUUGCACCAACCUCAAAUGUGCUCAAAUGGUCGACUGUGAACUUCGGAUGUCUUGUCCGUACGGAUCCGUACGGUCGCCUACAACGUCCGUAACAAAUCCGUACGGCCAGUCCCUAAGUUUGACACACUCGCCAAAACUCUUCUAAGUCCCUCCUGGACUUGGCCUAUCUUUGCACAACCAUCAGAUCACUUCUGGACACAAAGAGACACUCCUGAAGCUUGAUAGACAAUCCCUAAAGGACUUGCCCUAUCUUUGUGCCAGACCAACUCCUCCCAUACUUCUCCUUUCACUCCAUUUCUAUUCUUCAAGUUAACACAAGCUCUAUCUUCUCUUCAGUUCAACACUCCCCCUGAAGCUUGACUUAGGAGAUCCUAAGCCAACUUGGAACUCUGAAGAGUCUCUCAUUAAAACCUUACAAAGGAAAACCCAUUGGGACAAAACCUUGCAAGGGAAAAAGAGUAGAGCUCUCCAAAGCCUAGGGAUUGGCCAGUGAGCUCUUGUGCCUUAGAACCAGUGUGGUUGGACACAAGAAGCUCUGGAUCACGGCCUAAUAGUUGCAGCAACACUUCACAGCUUUGCACACACUUCACACCUCAGCUUCAUCUCUUCAUGGAACCGGUUUGAGACUCCCCUUCUCAACAAGCUUCAUAGCCUUCUUAGAAAGGCAAGGAUGUGACGGGAUCAUCUUUAAGCAUCAGUGAGGCUGAAUCAGACUUCAAACUAUGCUUGCCCUCUUCAUAGAACUUGUUUGGAUCUCCCCCUCUCAACAGACUUCACAGCCACCUUAGAGAAGCUUGGAAAUGAUCAGGAUCAUCUUUAGUGAGGCUCAAGCAAUGGUACCUGAUACAUUAUCCCAAAGGUGCAUCAGUACCUAUCAACACCAAGAAAAUGAAUAUCCUGCAUCCCAAUUGAUGCACACAAUCUCACAAUUCAAUCAUAAACAUUUCCAGUAUCUUUUCAAACACAAGCAAUAAAUAAGAUGAAUGAAAAAGGAUUGAAAAGAGUUUUAAAAGUCUAAGGGAACUUCCCUUGUGUUUUUGUGAGUUUCCUAACUCGGCCAAUGCACCAUCUUCAUGGCAUCAUCAACUUCUUGGAAAGGCAGAAUGGAUUCAUCAGCUUCUCCUCAAUCACCUCUCAUUGAAGCCGCAUUGAUGGAGAGCCUUCUUCCUCACUUGCCAAGACUGCUCUGUGUUGAAAUGAGGUGAUGCAACUAUGUGAUAUGAAGCUAGAGAAGGUUAGAGGCUUGAGGAUGAAGUUAGGGAUGUGAGUGUACGGACAGGCCGUACACGGUGACCGUACAAGGUAAAGAAGAAGUUACCAUGACCGUUUAACCAAGAGGGGAGUAAACGGAUCAUUCUUACCUUCUACCAUGCUCUACUUGGAUCAGACCGUUGAGAGAGCUUGAGGAGCGCAUCUGACAAGCUGUGCCAGGCUGUGACAGACUGUCAGCAUCCUAGUCAAAGAUCCAAGAUGCUUCACACGCGGGAAGAAGCUCAUUGGAUGCUUUAUGAUAUGCGCUCCUCUCCUGGUUGACUCCACAUGCUUUAGCUUAUCUUUAAACCAUGUAAACCCUAAGCUCUCAUACUAUAUAAGUUGUAACCUCAUCAGAUUAAUGAUUAACGAGAUUGAAAUCACUCUCUCUCUACUCUCUCUUAGUUUAAAUCUCAAGCUCUUAAUCACCCACUCUCUCAAACCAUAUACUGUUUAAAUCUUUCACUUAAACUUCUCUUAAUCUUCUUAAUCUCUCAAUACCUUCUUAAAUCUCUAAAAUCUCAUGGUAUCAGAGCCAGGUUGGCUUUGGUAUUGAGAGAUCUUAGUUCCUUUGUGUGAUUCUUACUCAUUCCUUCUUUGUGUUCUUGCGUUUGUUCUUGAUACUUCCGGGAAGUCUUGUCAGUGUGGUGAAGACUGCUAUUGGAGGCUAGGGUUGUGGACGGAUGAUGGUCCAGAGCCAGUGGCCAAAGGGAAUGAGGAAGCUGAGGGUGGAAAAGUACUCACUGAAGCUGAGGUGAAGAAGAAAUGGGUUCAAGAAGAUCUGAUGGUGCUGUCCGUGCUACACAGUUCUAUUGAAGUCCCUUUGCUUGAAGCCUACAUCUUCUGUGAGACACCUAAGCACUAUGGGAGACGCUCCAGAAGACAUUUGGAGAUGUCUCAAACCUUAACCGUGUGUUUGAGUUGAAGAAAGCCAUCACCUCCUUGAUGCAAGGUGGUGUGAGCUUACUACACACAUUGGGAAGUUCAGAGCUCUUUGGUCUGAGCUGGAUAACCUGCGCCCAAGCACCAGUGAUCAAGAGAUCAUCAUGGAGAGGAGAGAGCAGGAUCAAGUGUUUGGGUUGUUGAUGACCUUAGACGUGUGCUACCAGGAUGUCAUAAAGCACAUGCUGAGAUCGCCAAGCCUACCAACAAUGGAGGAGGUGUGCUCUCAACUGCAGAAGGAGGAAGGCUCUCUAGGCUUGUUUGGAGGAAAGGGGGAGCUACCUAUGGCUCAUCAGGCUGAGGAUGUGCAAGCAAACAAGGCGGGUUACAAGAAUGAUGGAAGGAAGUAUGGUGACCGCUUUGAAGGGAAUUGUGAUCAUUGCAAGAAGCCAGGCCAUAAGAAGAGCCAAUGCUGGAUACUUCACCCUCACCUCAAGCCAAGCAAAUUCAACAAGGAGAGAGAAGCCAGAGCUCACAUGUCCACCGAGACAAGCAGUGGCAGUGCAUCCGGGGCUGGUACAUCCUCACAAGUGAAUGAGAGUGAAGGGCGAGCUCUCUCUUCUCACCACUCAGGAGGAAAGAACCUAGAGCAUGAGGUGAUCAGGAAGUCAGACAUAGAUGCACUCAUCAAAGCUCUUAAAGAGUCUGGUAACAAACUAAGACCCAAUACUCUUGGUUAUUCUUUUGCUGCUCAUACUAUGUCUAGUAGAACUGAUAGGUUGCUAGACAUACUAGAGAGUCCCUUGAUUGGUAAAACUGAACAUAGCAUUGCUAAUAAACUCUUAGGAGUACUUGAGAACUUAAAAAUUAACAAUGAUCAUCCUAGAAGUCAUCUAGCUAAGGAUAUACAUAAACCUUUGAUCAUUGAUUCUGGUGCAUCUCAUCACAUGAUUAGUGAUAACAGGUUGAUUACGGAUAUAGAACCUACCCAAGGUCAUGUCAUGAUUGCUAAUGGAGAUAGAAUUCCUAUUAGAGGCAUUGGUAGGUUGAAACUGUUUAAUAAAGAGUCUAAUGCAUUCUACAUGCCUGAAUUUACUUCAAACUUGUUAUCUGUCAAGAGAUGCACUACUGAUCUUGAUUGCAAUGUUAUUUUUAGUCCUAAUGAUGUGAAGUUUCAGGAUAUUAAGAGCAGUAAGUUGAUCGGCCAAGGAGCAACUAAGGGAGACCUUUACAUGCUUGAAGAUCUCUCUCCUAUCUCUAGUUCUUGUUUUUCGUUUAGCUCGGUUUCUUUAAGUAAGGAUGCUUUGUGGCAUGCUAGGCUAGGACAUCCACAUGUUAGGGCCUUAAGCAUAAUGUUACCAGGUGUCAUGUUUAAAAAUAAUGAUUGUGAAGCUUGUAUUUUGGGAAAACAUUGUAAGAGUGUGUUUCAAAGAUCAGUUACAGUUUAUGAGAAGUGUUUUGACUUAAUCCACUCUGAUGUUUGGACUGCACCUUGUUUAUCUAGGGAUAAUUACAAGUAUUAUGUCACCUUCAUUGAUGAAAAAUCUAAAUACACCUGGUUAACACUCAUUAAAACAAAGGAUAGAGUUCUUGAUGCAUUUAAAAACUUUCAAAACUAUGUUACUAACCACUAUAAUGCCAAGAUUAAGAUUUUCAGGUCAGAUAAUGGUGGGGAGUAUACAAGUCAUGCAUUCAAAGAACAUCUAGCUAGCCAUGGAAUACUUCAUCAGACGAGCUGUCCUUAUACACCCCAGCAAAAUGGAGUGGCUGAAAGGAAGAAUAGACACCUCAUGGAGGUGGCGAGAUCAAUGAUGUUCUAUACAAGUGUGCCUAAGAGGCAUUGGAGUGAUGCAGUGAUGACCGCAAGCUACCUAAUCAACAGGACACCAACCAAGAUUCUCAAUGAUCAGUCCCCCUUUGAGGUUCUUAACAAGAGUAAGCCAGUGCUGGAACACUUGAGGAUCUUUGGGUGUGUGUGCUAUGUGCUUGUACCCGGGGAAAUGCGGAACAAGCUAGAAGAGAAGAGUACCAAGGCUAUGAUGAUUGGAUACUCUACGUCCCAAAAGGGAUACAAAUGCUUUGAUCCAAAUACCAGAAGAGUAUUGGUAUCAAGGGAGGUGAAGUUCUUUGAAGAAAAGGGAUAUUAUGAUGGGAAGAAUUGGGAAGAACUUGAAGAUCUAUCCCAACCAUCAGACAGGGCUGCAAGCUUGAGAAACAUUUUGCAAGGACUUGGUAUUGGAGUGUCAUCAGAUCAGCACAAACGCCAAGCAACACCACCUGUUAGAGUUGAAGAAUCAUCUCACUUAGAACAUGAAGGGGGAAGUGAAUCUGCUGAUACUGAAGUUCAAGGAACAAGUGAAGCCGAAAAUCAACAACAAAGCGCAGACUCUCAUGUUCAAAGUGAAGAUGACUCAAGGGGAAGUGAUCAACAUGGAGGUCAGGAAGCUAGUGAAGAAAGCCAGAUACCAGAAGAAGCCGUGGAAGAGAAUAUAGUAGUUCCAUUGAGGAGAAGCACACGGUUAAAGAGAGAUGCUUCCAACUGGGUAAACACAAGAGUGUACUACAAUGCCCAAGCUGUGGAGCAUCCCUCUCAAGCUGUGUGCUCCUUUGCGUGCUAUCCAGAAGAGCAUUGCGCAUUUAUGAUCAGCUUAGAUGGAAGCUAUGUGCCUAGAUCAUAUGAAGAUGCAAUGCUACAUGAAGACUGGAAGGAAUCAGUAGGUGAUGAAGCUAAUGCCAUGAUAAAGAAUGAUACUUGGUUUGAAAGUGAACUGCCAAAAGGAAAGAAGGCAGUAACUAGCAAGUGGAUAUUCACUAUCAAGUACAAGCCUGAUGGGACUAUUGAGAGAAAGAAGACAAGACUGGUGGCUAGAGGAUACACUCAAACAUAUGGGGAAGACUACAUUGACACCUUUGCUCCUGUUGCUAAGCUCCAUACAAUAAGAAUUGUAUUAUCUCUGGCUGUGAAUCUUGAGUGGGAGCUUUGGCAGAUGGAUGUGAAGAAUGCCUUUCUUCAAGGAGAACUAGAAGAUGAAGUGUAUAUGCAUCCACCACCAGGCCUAGGGCAUCUUGUGAAACCUGGAAAUGUGUUGAGACUCAAGAAGGCUAUCUAUGGGUUGAAACAAUCUCCUAGAGCAUGGUACAACAAGCUGAGCACUACUUUAAAUGGGCGUGGAUUCAAGAAAUCAGAAUUGGAUCAUACUCUCUUCACACUUACUUCACCCUCAGGUAUCAUUUGUCUACUUGUGUAUGUUGAUGAUAUCAUUAUAACAGGUAGUGAUAAGGCUGGGAUAAAAGCCACCAAGGAGUUUUUAAAAUCUGUAUUUGAAAUUAAAGACUUAGGAGAAAUGAAAUACUUCCUUGGAAUUGAGUUGUGUAGAUCUAAGGAAGGAUUGUUCAUUUCCCAAAGGAAGUAUACACUUGAUCUUUUGAAAGAUGCAGGUAUACAAGGAGAUAAGACAGCAAGGAUGCCUCUUGAAGAUGGAUACAAGGUUCCACGUGAGGGGGAGAUUGAAGAUAGCAAGGUCUUUCAUGAUCCAAAGCUAUACAGGAAGCUAGUAGGGAAGCUCAUCUACCUUACCAUCACACGUCCGGAUAUAUGCUUUGCUGUGAAUCAAGUGAGCCAGCAUAUGCAAGUCCCAAAGGAGCAUCACUGGCGAAUGGUGGAGAGACUCCUCUUGUAUCUGAACGGUACAUCAGGCCUUGGAGUUUGGAUGGGAUGCAACAAGAGUACUGAAGUGGUGGGCUAUUGUGAUGCUGAUUGGGCAGGAGAUAGAGCAGACAGAAGAUCAACUACCGGCUAUUGUACAUUCAUUGGAGGUAAUCUUGUGACAUGGAAGAGCAAGAAGCAGAAAGUAGUAUCUUGUUCAAGUGCUGAAGCUGAGUAUAGGGCAAUGCUGAAGCUAACCAAUGAGUUGGUGUGGAUCAAAGGGAUCUUGAAACACUUGGAGAUAGAGCAAGCUACACCAAUGACUAUGCAUUGCGACAACCAAGCAGCUAUACACAUUGCAUCCAACUCAGUGUUCCAUGAGAGAACCAAGCACAUUGAAGUAGACUGCCACAAGGUGAGGCAGAUGAUCGUUUUGGGAGUAAUCUUGCCAUGCUAUACAAGGAGUGAGGAUCAGUUAGCGGAUGUAUUCACCAAGGCAGCAAGACAAAAGACAAUGGAGUCCAUACACAUCAGGUUAGGACUCAUUGAUCUUACACCCAUAGAAUAGUCCCCUGAUCAUGAGGUCUUUACUCUUUUUCCCUUAUCAAAGUUUUGUCCCAAAUGGGUUUUCUUUGGUAAGGUUUUUAAUGAGGAAGAUCUCAUGGUCCUUCCAAGCUUAACUUGUUCCACAUGGUUAAGCUUGAGGGGGAGUGUUGAAAUGAGGUGAUGCAACUAUGUGAUAUGAAGCUAGAGAAGGUUAGAGGCUUGAGGAUGAAGUUAGGGAUGUGAGUGUACGGACAGGCCGUACAAGGUGGCCGUACAAGGUAAAGAAGAAGUUACCAUGACCGUUUAACCAAGAGGGGAGUAAACGGAUCAUUCUUACCUUCUACCAUGCUCUACUUGGAUCAGACCGUUGAGAGAGCUUGAGGAGCGCAUCUGACAGGCUGUGCCAGGCUGUGACAGACUGUCAGCAUCCUAGUCAAAGAUUCAAGAUGCUUCACACGCGGGAAGAAGCUCAUUGGAUGCUUUAUGAUAUGCGCUCAUCUCCUGGUUGACUCCACAUGCUUUAGCUUAUCUUUAAACCUUGUAAACUCUAAGCUCUCAUACUAUAUAAGUUGUAACCUCAUCAGAUUAAUGAUUAACGAGAUUGAAUCACUCUCUCUCUACUCUCUCUCUAGUUUAAAUCUCAAAGUCUCUUAAUCACUCUCAAACCAUGAUACUUGUUUAAAUCUUUCACUAAACUUCUCUUUAAUCUUUCUUAAUCUCUCAAUACCUUCUUAAAUCUCUAAAAUCUCACUCUGAACAGCCUCUUGCCUAGACACGCCACUGACUUGGCCCGGUUGAUGAUCCCUUUGUAGAAGCCUUUGCAAAGACUUGUUACUGACCAUGGAUCAUAUGCACUAAGACUCCCCCUCAAGCUUAGAACCGAGACUAUAAGGAGCUAAGCUUGUGAUGAUCCUAUGCAUCUCCAUGGUCUAAUAACUAUCAUCUUUUAUGAUAGCUUUCUUCUUGUGAGUUUUCUCUCUUCCUUAACCAGGAAUUAGGGUGUUUGAAUCACCAUAGAGAGUCUCACAAGACACAUCUCUCAUUGCAUAAUGACCCAUGCUACACUUCCUGUAGACUAAGGACUAGAUAUGUCCAAUGGUAUUAUGCAAUGGCCAUCUCUCAUUGCAUAAUCAAUCACACUACACUUCCUGUAGAUUAUGGACUAACACGUCCAAGUGAUGAUAUGCAAUGACACCAGACCUUUGUCUCUACAUUCUUGGUUGAUGGCGAGUUACAUGUAUCACUUCCCUUGUGUACCUAACACCACCACAACUCAAUGCAAGAUCAGAUCAUCCCAUUGGGAUCAAACUAAGAUCAUCCAUCCUGUUUGAUCACCAAUGCCACAAUAAUGUAUGAUACUUGAAACAAGCUAGACAAUCAAGACAAGAAUAUGCAAAGACAAUGUAUGCUUUCAACAAUAUACUGAUCUUUUUAGGUUCAAUUCAGUUUUUUUUUUUAAAUGCAACAAUAGAUGAAUGCAUUAGGUUACACACUAACUAUAUGAAUGAAACAGAUUCAAUCCAAAUGAACACAAGACUAGAUGAUACUUUAUGCAAUCAAGGCAACAAGCGUGACUCAAUUCAUGCUUAUGCUUACUGGAUUUAUUAAGGCCAAUGAUUCAAGUAGUUUAGACAUACUUCUAAAUCCUACAAGACAUUAGAUGCUAACAAGCAGAUUUUAAUUUCUCUAAAUGCAAUGCAAGCUUACAUCAGUACAUUUGCAAUUUAGGCUCAUUUUUAAAUGCAUUACUACAUGAAUGCACAAUCUUAAAGCAUUAGCUAUAUGAAUGCAACAGGUUCAAUCCAUGAGUAAUAUUAAAGCUCUGCACAACAGUUUCAAUCAGAACCAAUGAUGCAAGCAACUUAGACAAUUUCUAAUUGAUGCAAGACUUUCAUUGAUGGAUUAAACAUAGGCAAUAGCAUCAGAUAACACUGGGAUUGAACUUAGACAGCAUGAGAUAUGCUUAUGUAUGCAAAAUAACCUAUCAAUCAUGAUGCAAGCAGCAGAGACAUUCUACUCAAUUCUACAACACAUUUAUGAUGAUUCAAGCUAUGACAACACCCAAGACAAUGAAAUAAACAGAACAUGAGAUUCUGGGACUCUAGACAUUACUUAUUAACAAUAAGACAAUGCAGCAGCAGAACAAUUUCAGUGCAAUUAGCCUAGACAUUCUACUAGAAGCUAUAAACUCUUAAUGGAAUUAGGGAAAGCACAUAGUAUAAUCAGGAGAUAAACCUAUCAAGACAUAUUAAGAUAGAUGUGUUGAGUUGAGUUGCGUAUAAGUGUGAAGCAAGUGAGGAGUUGAGACUAAGGAGAUGAGUUGAAGCUUGGGAAGGUUUGGGCAAGGUCCGUACAAGUCCGUACGGUCCGUACAUGACCGUACACAUGAAGAUGGGUGAAACCUUGACAAGGGUAAAGAAGUUACUUGCGGUAACUUAGGUGAAGGGAAGGAACUUACCUGGAUGCAUCAGACCGUUUAGGGAUAAGGUAGAGCGCGCCUUGACAGGCUGGAACAGCUGGAAAGGCAAGAGCAUCUCGGUCCAAGAUGCUAGAUGCUCCGCGCAUGUGGAGAAGCUAAUUGGCUUGUUCAAAUGAGCUUAUCCUCUCCUGAUUGACCUCACAUGCUUUAGUCUUCUCUUGAUUUCGAAAACCCUUGUAUGCUCACACUAUAUAUUGUAACUCAUGUCCUUAAUGACAGAUUAGACAGUUCUAAACAAUCUUUCUCUUUACUCAUUUCACUAUGAUUCUCCAUUAGUCUCUAAGUUGUCUCUUAAUCUCUUAUUCUCCUUCUUUAAUCCUUUCUAAACUCAGAUAAUCCUUUACAUUCCUAAAAGUCAUAUGGUAUCAGAGCCAGGUUGAUUACAAUCUGAGUUCGUGAGAGAUUCUCUUAAGGAUUCAAGUUUGAAACUUUAAGAGAACAAGUGAGUGUGUUUGAGAGUUUCUUGAGAGUUCAAAAGCUCAAGGUGUUUUGUGUGUGUCUUGGUGGUCCGUGGGAGGUUCAUUUGAAGACUCAAGAGUGAAUCUGUGUUCUAGAGAGCAGCGUGGGUUCUCAGUACAAGAUCUAACCGGUUGUUCAAGCUAUAGACGUCAAGCUGUUCAAGAUGGAGAGUGGCAUGAAGAUGAAGGUCGCGGUGACAUUCAAAGGAACCAACUACCUAGUCUGGUCUAGGAUGGUGAAGACUGCUGUGGGAAGCAAGGGUUUGUGGAAGCAUAUCACAUCUGGUGAGGCUCCAAAGGUGAUUACUCAGGGGGGUGAAACGGAGAGUCCCGAGGAGAGUGUUGUAGAGAAGUGGCAACAAGAAGACAUGAUGGUGAUGUCAGUCCUUCAUGCCUCUUUGGAGCCGGCUAUACUAGAUGCUUAUAGCUACUGUGAGACAGCCAAGGAGCUGUGGUAACCAAGCUGCCAUCCACAUUGUGAUAACCAAGCUGCCAUCCACAUUGCCUCCAACUCGGUGUUUCAUGAAAGAACCAAGCACAUUGAAGUUGAUUGUCACAAGGUGAGGCAGAUGAUCAUCUUAGGAGUCAUCCUGCCAUGCUACACAAGAAGUGAAGAUCAGUUAGCAGAUGUGUUCACCAAGGCUGCAAGACAAAAGACAAUGGAGUCCAUUCACAUCAGGUUGGGCCUCAUUGAUCUUGGGAAGAGAAGGAGCUGAUCCCCUUUAGCUGUGAGGUCUUUACUCUUUUUCCCUCAUCAAGGUUUUGUCCCAAUGGGUUUUCCUUGAUGAGGUUUUUAAUGAGGAAGAUCUCAUGGCUAUCCAAGCUUAGGCUUUCACAAAGCUAAGCUUGAGGGGGAGUGUUGAGAUAGGUUAUGAAAUAAGGAGAAGCAUGAAGGGAUUAGAGAAGUGAGAGGAGAUGAGACAUGAAGGAGUUGGGAUGGAAUUAGGAGGAAUGGACCGUACAAGGCCGUACAUUCCGUACAAGGCCGUACAUGAUGGUAACUAUAAGUUACCCGAGUAACUCAUCCGGAUGAAGCAAGCUGUGGGUAAAGUCUUGGGAACUUAUCUGAUCCAUCAGACCGUUGAGGAAGGGGAUAAGAGGCGCCUUGACAGACUGGCACAGCUGGAAAGGCAAAAGCUACUUUAUCCAAAGAUCCCAAAGGCAUCAAACGUGUGGGAGCCUUCAUUGGAUAGAUUCAAACUCGGCCAGCCUUACCUAUUGACUUCACAUGCUUAGGGUCUCUGAUUAGGUUUUCGAAAACCCUUGUUGCUUAGACUAUAAAUAUGUAAUCUCAUCUCUUAAUAAAGAUUAGACAGUUCUAAACAAUCUUUCUCUUUACUCAUUUCAUCAUGAUUCUCCAUUAGCCUCUAAUCAGUCUCUUAAAUCUCUUAUUCUCUUCCUUAAUCCUAUUAUAAACUCAGAUUAAUCUUUAUAUUCCUAAAAGUCAUACACGAGAGUGUACUACAAUGCCCAAGCUGUGGAGCAUCCUUCUCAAGCCGUGUGCUUCUUUGCUCAAUAUCCAGAAGAACAUUGUGCCUUCAUGGUUAACUUGGAUGAGAACUACAUCCCAAGAAGCUAUGAAGAAGCAAUCAUGGAUAAAGAAUGGAAGGAAUCAGUUGGAGCUGAGGCAGGAGCUAUGAUCAAGAAUGAUACAUGGUACGAGAGUGAGUUACCAAAAGGGAAGAAGGCUGUGACCAGUAGAUGGAUAUUCACAAUCAAGUACAAAGCGGAUGGAAAGAUUGAGAGGAAGAAGUCAAGGCUAGUUGCAAGAGGUUUCACUCAAACUUAUGGAGAAGAUUACAUAGAAACCUUUGCACCAGUAGCUAAACUACACACAAUCCGGAUUGUACUAAGCUUGGCUGUGAAUCUUGGAUGGGGGUUAUGGCAAAUGGAUGUGAAGAAUGCGUUUCUACAAGGUGAACUUGAGGAUGAAGUGUAUAUGCAUCCACCUCCAGGCCUUGAACACUUAGUGAAGAGUGGGAAUGUGUUGAGACUGAAGAAAGCCAUCUAUGGGCUGAAGCAAUCACCAAGAGCUUGGUACAACAAGUUGAGCAUUACUCUGAAUGGUCGAGGCUUCAAGAAGUCUGAACUAGAUCACAAUCUCUUCACUCUCACGACUCCCUCAGGUAUGAUUGCACUCCUUGUGUAUGUUGAUGAUAUCAUUAUCACAGGGAGUGAUAAGGAAGGUAUCAUAGCAACCAAGGAGUUUCUUAAAUCCAUGUUUGAGAUUAAAGACUUGGGAGAAAUGAAAUACUUCCUUGGAAUUGAGAUAUGUAGAUCCAAGGAAGGUUUGUUCAUGUCCCAAAGGAAAUAUACACUUGAUCUUUUGAAAGGUGCAGGUGCUUAUGGAGGCAAGACAGCAAGGAUGCCUAUGGAGGAUGGCUACAAAGUCCCACGAGAGGGGGAGAUUGAAGACAGCAAACCUUAUCAGGAUCCUAAACUCUAUAGAAAACUAGUUGGCAAAUUGAUUUAUCUUACUAUAACUAGACCUGACAUCUGUUUUGCUGUGAAUCAGGUGAGUCAACACAUGCAAGUGCCUAAGGAGCAUCACUGGCGCAUGGUGGAGAGGAUCUUGAUGUAUCUCAACGGCUCACCUGAUCAAGGAGUAUGGAUGGGCUGCAAUGGAAGCACUGAAGUGGUGGGAUAUUGUGAUGCGGAUUGGGCUGGUGAUAGAGCAGACAGGAGAUCAACCACAGGCUAUUGCACAUUCAUUGGAGGCAACUUGGUGACUUGGAAGAGCAAGAAGCAGAAGGUAGUGUCAUGUUCAAGUGCAGAAGCCGAGUAUAGAGCCAUGCUGAAGCUUACCAACGAGUUGGUAUGGAUCAAAGGCAUCUUGAAGCACUUGGAGAUUGAUCAAGCAACUCCAAUGACAAUGCAUUGUGACAAUCAAGCUGCCAUCCACAUUGCAUCCAACUCGGUGUUUCAUGAGAGGACCAAGCACAUUGAAGUUGAUUGCCACAAGGUGAGACAGAUGAUUGUGCUAGGGGUGAUCUUGCCAUGCUAUACAAGGAGUGAAGAUCAGCUAGCGGAUGUUUUCACCAAGGCUGCAAGGCAAAAGACUAUAAAGUCCAUUCACAUCAGAUUGGGACUCAUAGAUCUUGGGAAGAGAAGGAGCUAAUCCCCUUAGCUGCAAGGUCUUUACUCUUUUUCCCUCAUCAAAGUUUUAUCCCAUUGGGUUUUCUUUGGUGAGGUUUUUAAUGAGGAAGAUCUUGUAGCUUUCCAAGCUUAGGCUUUCACAAAGCUAAGCUUGAGGGGGAGUGUUGAGUUGAGUUGAUUAUAUUGGUAUGGAGAGAAGAGGAGUUGAAGAGGAGAAGAGAUGGAGAAGCUUAGGGAGUUUGGGUGUGAAUGGUACGGACGUCCGUUCAAGGCCGUACAUGGCCGUACCGUCCGUACCAAAGGUCUCGACCAAAACUUACCCAACCUCGACCAAGUGAAACGGUAACAAGGAAAUGUUACCUUGGGGACUUAAGGAGAAGGGAUCAGACCGUUGAGUGGAUAAGGGAAGAGCGUGCCAGGCUGGAACAGGCUGUAAAGAGGCAAAGCGUGUGAGCCUUAUCAUCCAAUCAUCCGGAAAGCAACCUUGACUCUACAUGCUUCAAUAGUGCCCAUUUCGCCUCUUGUAAACCCUUAUGCUUUCCAUAUAAAUAUGUAACCUCACUCAUUAAUAAGAUUAUGCAGUUUGAGUCUCUCUAAUCUCUUAGACACUAUGGUUCUCUCUUAGUCUCUUAAACACUCUCUUUAUUCUGAUUACUCUAAGGAUCUCUUAAUCUCAUACUUCAUCCUAACUCCUAUGAGAUUUAUUCAACUUCCUAGUGAUUCUCCAUUACUUUAUGUAUCAAAAUCAAGCUUCUUACAUCGCGAUUCAUUCUGGUUUGAUUAGAAUGACAAAGAAGCUGUCAUAUUCCCAAACAGGAAAACUGGGAUCACCUGAUUUGGAAGUGGGAUAGCUUCUUCAUCCUAACUCCUAUGAGAUUUCUUCAACUUCCUAGUGAUUCUCCAUUACUUUAUGUAUCAAAAUCAAGCUUCUUACAUCGCGAUUCAUUUUGGUUUGAUUAGAAUGACAAAGAAGCUGUCAUAUUCCCAAACACGAAAAGUGGGAUCACCUGAUUUGAAAGUGGGAUAGGUUCUUCAUCCUAACUCCUAUGAGAUUUAUUCAACUUCCUAGUAAUUCUCCAUUACUUUAUGUAUCAAAAUCAAGCUUCUUACAUCGCGAUUCAUCCUGGUUCUAUUAGAAUGACAAGGAAGCUGUUAUAUUCUCAAACAGGAAAUUUGGGAUCACCUGAUUUUAAAGUGGGAUAGCUUCUUCAUCCUAACUCCUAUGAGAUUUAUUCAACUUCCUAGUGAUUCUCCAUUACUUUAUAUAUCAAAAUCAAGCUUCUUACAUCCCGAUUCAUUCUGGUUUGAUUAGAAUGACAAAGAAGCUGUCAUAUUCCCAAACAGGAAAAGUGGGAUCACCUGAUUUGAAAGUGGGAUAGCUUCUUCAUCCUAACUCCUAUGAGAUUUAUUCAACUUCCUAGUGAUUCACCAUUACUUUAUGUAUCAAAAUCAAGCUUCUUACAUCACGAUUCAUCCUGGUUUGAUUAGAAUGACAAAGAAGCUGUCAUAUUCCCAAACAGGAAAACUGGGAUCAACUGAUUUGAAAGUGGGAUAGCUUCUUCAUCCUAACUCCUAUGAGAUUUCUUCAACUUCCUAGUGAUUCUCCAUUACUUUAUGUAUCAAAAUCAAGCUUCUUACAUCGCGAUUCAUCCUGGUUUGAAUAGAAUGACAAAGAAGCUGUCAUAUUCCCAAACAGGAAAAUUGGGAUUACCUGAUUUGAAAGUGGGACAGCUUCUUCAUCCUAACUCCUAUGAGAUUUAUUCAACUUCCUAGUGAUUCUCCAUUACUUUAUGUAUCAAAAUCAAGCUUCUUACAUCGCGAUUCAUCCUGGUUCUAUUAGAAUGACAAGGAAGCUGUUAUAUUCCCAAACAGGAAAACUGGGAUCACCUGAUUUGGAAGUGGGAUAGCUUCUUCAUCCUAACUCCUAUGAGAUUUCUUCAACUUCCUAGUGAUUCUCCAUUACUUUAUGUAUCAAAAUCAAGCUUCUUACAUCGCGAUUCAUUUUGGUUUGAUUAGAAUGACAAAGAAGCUGUCAUAUUCCCAAACACGAAAAGUGGGAUCACCUGAUUUGAAAGUGGGAUAGGUUCUUCAUCCUAACUCCUAUGAGAUUUAUUCAACUUCCUAGUAAUUCUCCAUUACUUUAUGUAUCAAAAUCAAGCUUCUUACAUCGCGAUUCAUCCUGGUUCUAUUAGAAUGACAAGGAAGCUGUUAUAUUCUCAAACAGGAAAUUUGGGAUCACCUGAUUUUAAAGUGGGAUAGCUUCUUCAUCCUAACUCCUAUGAGAUUUAUUCAACUUCCUAGUGAUUCUCCAUUACUUUAUAUAUCAAAAUCAAGCUUCUUACAUCCCGAUUCAUUCUGGUUUGAUUAGAAUGACAAAGAAGCUGUCAUAUUCCCAAACAAGAAAAGUGGGAUCACCUGAUUUGAAAGUGGGAUAGCUUCUUCAUCCUAACUCCUAUGAGAUUUAUUCAACUUCUUAGUGAUUCACCAUUACUUUAUGUAUCAAAAUCAAGCUUCUUACAUCACGAUUCAUCCUGGUUUGAUUAGAAUGACAAAGAAGCUGUCAUAUUCCCAAACAGGAAAACUGGGAUCAACUGAUUUGAAAGUGGGAUAGCUUCUUCAUCCUAACUCCUAUGAGAUUUCUUCAACUUCCUAGUGAUUCUCCAUUACUUUAUGUAUCAAAAUCAAGCUUCUUACAUCGCGAUUCAUCCUGGUUUGAAUAGAAUGACAAAGAAGCUGUCAUAUUCCCAAACAGGAAAAUUGGGAUCACCUGAUUUGAAAGUGGGACAGCUUCUUCAUCCUAACUCCUAUGAGAUUUAUUCAACUUCCUAGUGAUUCUCCAUUACUUUAUGUAUCAAAAUCAAGCUUCUUACAUCGCGAUUCAUCCUGGUUCUAUUAGAAUGACAAGGAAGCUGUUAUAUUCCCAAAUAGGAAAACUGGGAUCACCUGAUUUGAAAGUGGGAUAGCUUCUUCAUCCUAACUCCAAUGAGAUUUAUUCAACUUCCUAGUCAUUCUCCAUUACUUUAUGUAUCAAAAUCAAGCUUCUUACAUCGCGAUUCAUCCUGGUUCUAUUAGAAUGACAAGGAAGCUGUUAUAUUUCCAAAUAGGAAAAUUGGGAUCACCUGAUUUGAAACUGGGAUAGCUUCUUCAUCCUAACUCCUAUGAGAUUUAUUCAACUUCCUAGUGAUUCACCAUUACUUUAUGUAUUAAAAUCAAGCUUCUUACAUCAAGAUUCAUACUGGUUUGAUUAGAAUGACAAAGAAGCUAUCAUAUUCCCAAACAGGAAAACUGGGAUCACCUGAUUUGAAAGUGGGAUAGCUUCUUCAUCCUAACUCCUAUGAGAUUUCUUCAACUUCCUAGUGAUUCUCCAUUACUUUAUUUAUCAAAAUCAAGCUUCUUACAUCGCGAUUCAUUUUGGUUUGAUUAGAAUGACAAAGAAGCUGUCAUAUUCCCAAACAGGAAAAGUGGGAUCACCUGAUUUGAAAGUGGGAUAGGUUCUUCAUCCUAACUCCUAUGAGAUUUAUUCAACUUCCUAGUAAUUCUCCAUUACUUUAUGUAUCAAAAUCAAGCUUCUUACAUCGCGAUUCAUCCUGGUUCUAUUAGAAUGACAAGGAAGCUGUUAUAUUCCCAAACAGGAAAACUGGGAUCACCUGAUUUGAUAGUGGGAUAGCUUCUUCAUCCUAACUCCUAUGAGAUUUCUUCAACUUCCUAGUGAUUCACCAUUACUUUAUGUAUCAAAAUCAAGCUUCUUACAUCACGAUUAUGUUGAGUUAGAAGAGACUUAUGGAUAAAGGAAUGAUGGAUAAGUGGAGAAGAAGCAAGGUAGAGGAAUCCGCACAAGAGAGGCCGUACAAGGCCGUACACUUGGUACGGAUGGAGCAACCACAAGGAGAAGUAUCUCGGCCAAGAAGUUACCAAAGUGAAAGUAACUUAGCCAAAGUUACCUUUACCUUUGGUUGUGGAUCAGCUUGAAUCAAAAGGAAGAAGAGCGCGGACUGACAGGCUGGAACAGCUGUAAAGGAAGAGCAUCUAGCUAGAUCCUUUUGGCAUCAAGCGUGUGAGCCAUCCUAGCCUAUCAUUCAAACUAGCCCGCUCCUCUCAUCUUUGACUCUACAUGCUUAGUCUCCCUUGUAUCCGUUAACCUAGACUUAGUCUCUCCUAUAUAUAUUGUAACCUUGCUGAUUAAUGAAGUUAACGAGAUUGAGAGACUCUUAUCUCUUGUGUUCAUCAUGAUUCUCACUCAUCCUUACUCUUAGUUCUUAUAAUCUCUCAUACACUCUCAAAUCUAUCUCGUUCUCUUCUUAAAUCACUCAAUACCUUUUGUAUUCUCUAAAAUCAUAUGGUAUCAGAGCCAGGUUGGCUUUGGUAUUGAGUUUCUGAAAAGUUCUUCAUCUUCUUUCAAAAAAAAUCUAGCGUGUUCUUCACUGGAGUAUACAAGACAAGAUGGAGGGACACUACAAGGUGAUUACGGUACCGGUGGGUCUAAAGGGUAGUGGAAACUACCUGCUGUGGUCAAGGCUGGUGAAGACAGCCAUUGGGAGGCUAGGGUUGUGGAGUCACAUCACGGAUGAGGCACCAAGACCAGUGGCCAAGGAAGGAGAAGGAGGUGGAGGUGAAGGAGAUCAAGUUGCGGCCGCCGAGAAGAAAUGGAUACAAGAAGACUUGAUGGUGCUUUCAGUGCUACAAGGCUCUCUUGAAGUCCAUCUCUUAGAUGCCUACAGCUACUGUGAGACUCCUAAGCACCUAUGGGAAACACUCCUGAAGACCUUUGGGAACACAACCAAUCUGAGCCGGGUGUUUGAGCUCAAGAGAGCCAUCAACAACCUUGCGCAAGAAGAGGAGGAGUUCUCUAAACACUUGGGAAAGUACAGAUCUCUCUGGUCUGAGCUGGAGACCUUGAGGCCAAGCACCAUUGAUCAAGAGACUCUCAUGGAGAGGAGGGAACAAGAUCAAGUGUUUGGUUUGAUGCUGACUUUGAAUCCGGCUUUUGGUGAUGUUAUUAAGCACAUUCUGAGGUCUCCAAACCUUCCAUCUAUGGAGGAGGUGUGUGCACAACUCCAGAAGGAAGAAGGGACUCUCAGCUUGUUUGGGGGAAGAGGAGAUGUGGCUCUAUCCAACAAGGCUGAGGCAAUCCAAGCAAACAAAGCUGCUUACCGUGGAGAUGAAAGGAAGUUUAGUGGGAACUGUGAUCAUUGCAAGAAGCCAGGGCACAAGAGGAGUCAGUGCUGGAUUCUACACCCCCACUUGAAGCCGGCCAAGUUCAACAAGGAGAGGGAGGGAAGAGCUCACCUUUCUGCAGAGACAAGUGAAGCCGGCGCAUCAGGAGCUGGUUCAUCUGGUCAUGCGGGUGAAAGUGAAGGAAGAGCUUUAGCCUCUCACCUCCAAGGAGCCGGGAAGAACAUGGAGCAUGAGGUGAUUAGGAAGUCUGACAUUGAUACCCUGAUCAAAGCCCUCAAAGAGUCUGGUAACCCCAUUGAACACACUCUUGGUUAUUCAUACUCUGCUCGUGUGUUAUCUAGAACUUGUGAUAGGCUGCUAGACAAUCUUGAUAGUAUGAACAUGGGAGAUGGAAAGCAUAGGACUUAUGCUGCUGAAAAAACACCUAGAACUAAUGAUAAGUUGCUAGAUGGUGCAGCCUGGGUAUGGCUUAAACUCUGGAUCACUUGAAGGUGGAUGGAUAGAGGAUGUUCUAAGAGGCUACUAGCUCUCCUUUGAACUGUGAACGUCUCCCUGAGCCUGUGGGUUGGCGCAAGGAUGGUUUGCUACUCAAAGACACAAGAUCACCUUGUAUUGUCUAAGAUGGGAUUCACAGGAAUUCCUUCCUUUAAGUGAGAUCAAUGUUCUAGAGCUGAACAGAGAAAGCUAGAGACAAGACAACAAAGUUGACUGAAUAAUUCUUAAGAAAACAAAGCUGCAUCCCCCAUGUUCUUAAAGGUAGAAAUCGAAAACCCUAAUAGUAAACCAAGGUGGUUUAAUUCUAAUUCUAAUCCUAAUUGUCUUUGGUUUAAAUUAAAUGAAAGCCCAAUAACCAAACCCUUACAAAGUAAUUAAAUUAAACCAACAAGCUGGUUUAUCUUGAUCUCCUUGCCUUGAACCAAGGCCCACGGUUUUGGCUAUCUCCUGGAGCCUCUCCUCUUGUGCUCUCAGUCUCGAUCUAGUAACUGGUCCACUCCACACACUGACUGGCUCACAUGGUAUCUCACUCUGGUUCUCUUCAGUAUCCUCAGCUUCACA
RNAcentral lists this long non-coding RNA (41508 nucleotides) under Brassica rapa (field mustard). Its description in RNAcentral is "long non-coding RNA (BRAP_LNC008092)". Lineage: Eukaryota; Viridiplantae; Streptophyta; Magnoliopsida; Brassicales; Brassicaceae. The record is from RNAcentral.